This 497-nucleotide ribosomal RNA is filed under the name uncultured bacterium. RNAcentral's name for it is "partial 16S ribosomal RNA". It matches the Rfam family "Bacterial small subunit ribosomal RNA", at positions 28 to 507 of the family's 1533-position model. The record is from RNAcentral.
GAUGAACGCUGGCGGCGUGCCUAAUACAUGCAAGUCGAGCGAACAGACGAGGAGCUUGCUCCUCUGACGUUAGCGGCGGACGGGUGAGUAACACGUGGAUAACCUACCUAUAAGACUGGGAUAACUUCGGGAAACCGGAGCUAAUACCGGAUAAUAUAUUGAACCGCAUGGUUCAAUAGUGAAAGACGGUUUUGCUGUCACUUAUAGAUGGAUCCGCGCCGCAUUAGCUAGUUGGUAAGGUAACGGCUUACCAAGGCGACGAUGCGUAGCCGACCUGAGAGGGUGAUCGGCCACACUGGAACUGAGACACGGUCCAGACUCCUACGGGAGGCAGCAGUAGGGAAUCUUCCGCAAUGGGCGAAAGCCUGACGGAGCAACGCCGCGUGAGUGAUGAAGGUCUUCGGAUCGUAAAACUCUGUUAUUAGGGAAGAACAAAUGUGUAAGUUACUAUGCACGUCUUGACGGUACCUAAUCAGAAAGCCACGGCUAACUACGUG